AACGCUAGCUACAGGCUUAACACAUGCAAGUCGAGGGGCAGCAUGAACUUAGCUUGCUAAGUUUGAUGGCGACCGGCGCACGGGUGAGUAACACGUAUCCAACCUGCCGAUGACUCGGGGAUAGCCUUUCGAAAGAAAGAUUAAUACCCGAUGGCAUAGUUCUUCCGCAUGGUGGAGCUAUUAAAGAAUUUCGGUCAUCGAUGGGGAUGCGUUCCAUUAGGUUGUUGGCGGGGUAACGGCCCACCAAGCCUUCGAUGGAUAGGGGUUCUGAGAGGAAGGUCCCCCACAUUGGAACUGAGACACGGUCCAAACUCCUACGGGAGGCAGCAGUGAGGAAUAUUGGUCAAUGGACGAGAGUCUGAACCAGCCAAGUAGCGUGAAGGAUGACUGCCCUAUGGGUUGUAAACUUCUUUUAUACGGGAAUAAAGUGAGGCACGUGUGCCUUUUUGUAUGUACCGUAUGAAUAAGGAUCGGCUAACUCCGUGCCAGCAGCCGCGGUAAUACGGAGGAUCCGAGCGUUAUCCGGAUUUAUUGGGUUUAAAGGGAGCGUAGGCGGACGCUUAAGUCAGUUGUGAAAGUUUGCGGCUCAACCGUAAAAUUGCAGUUGAUACUGGGUGUCUUGAGUACAGUAGAGGCAGGCGGAAUUCGUGGUGUAGCGGUGAAAUGCUUAGAUAUCACGAAGAACUCCGAUUG
Molecule: ribosomal RNA, 693 nt
Filed under: uncultured bacterium
Lineage: Bacteria
Description: bacterial SSU rRNA
Rfam family: Bacterial small subunit ribosomal RNA
Source: RNAcentral